RNAcentral lists this ribosomal RNA (2983 nucleotides) under Gossypium barbadense (sea-island cotton). RNAcentral describes it as "bacterial LSU rRNA". The stretch from base 1601 to 2983 matches the Rfam family "Bacterial large subunit ribosomal RNA". Lineage: Eukaryota; Viridiplantae; Streptophyta; Magnoliopsida; Malvales; Malvaceae. The record is from RNAcentral.
CUUUGCAUAAAGUAUGUAGCCAUUACAUAUACCUUCUUGUCAUAUGAUUAUGAUUUAUUUGCCUAGAACUUUUGCCAUGUAAUAUUAUGCAUGUUCGUUAUUAUGUUCUUAUCUCCUGCUAUCAUUGUGAUUUAAAUUCCAACUUAUGUGGCCAACAUUAGUGGUUUCAUUUCUUCUCCAAACAAGCCCAAACAAGUAUAUUUUGAUUCGGAUUUUAUCAUCGUUAAUUCGAACCCUCUCAACUUAAGGAAUUAUUUCGGUAUUUAAAGAAUUCGAAGAAUCGUGCCCUAACGUACUGGGUUUCGUUUUCUUUGUUUGUCUUGAAUAUUCGAAUAUCCUCUUACCAGUUCACUCUAAAAAAUUUUCAAAAUAAAGGCAAUGUUCGGUAUUUAAAGAAUUCGAAGAACCGUGCCCUAACGUACUGGGUUUCGCUUUCUUUAUUUGUUUUGAAUAUUCGAAUAUCCUCUUAAGGCUAAAACACACGUUUUCAAGGCAAGUUCACAAUUGAGAGUCAAAAAUGUUGUGUCCUAACGUACUGGAUGUAAUGUUUUACCUUGAGGUGAGAUGGUCUUUAAUACACAUUUGACUUACCUAAAUGUUUUAAAAGCCAGUAAAAGGAGGACCGCAUUUUGAACUCUGUCCAAAUCUUUAAUUUUCAACAUUAAGACACUAAAUAAUCAAUCGAGUACCAAUUUUGGGUGUGUCGAGGGUGCUAAUUCUUCCUCGUACGUAACUGACUCCCGAACCGGUUUUCUAUUUUCGCAGACCAAAAUCGUUGUUUUGAAAAAUUUAUUUAUUUAUUAAAAACGACCGUGUUUUGAGGUGAUCCAAUCACACCCUAUUAAAAACGAUUGGUGGCGACUCCCAACUUUUCAUUUUCAAAAGUCGAUUUCCCGUUUUCAAAAAAAUGGUUUCGACAAUAAAUACAUACUAUGAUGAAUCACACUAUGAAUCUAUACAUUUUAGGAUUACACUAUUGAAAUUUAAAAACAUUUAUUUAUACAAUUUAUCUUUGUCAAUAAAAAAUUGUGAAUUUCUAAAUAGAAACAACCUAUAAAUUUAGAUCAUCUAAACUAUUAUAAUUGAAGUGUAUUAAAAAAGUAAGAAAUAAUUCAAAGGAAUUUUUCUCUUAUAUUUUUUUAUUUAAAUAUUCAAACAAUGACUAUUUAUUAUUAAAUAAUAUUAGUAUAACAGGUUCUAAAUUAGUUAAUUUAAAAUAUAUAUUUUUUGUAAUUAUUUUUGUUUUCACUCCAUUCAUUAUUUUUAUUGAAAAAUUCAUUGUUGAUUUUAAAUAAAAAAUAAUGUUAUAAAAAUAUUAUAAAAUUAAACUAUACAAUUAACCCAGAUACAAUCUAAUUUAUAUUUAUAUGAAAAUAAAUUAAUCUUUCUACAUCUAUCAAACCUAAACAAUCUCUCAAUCUUGUCUUUCAACAUUUAUCAUUUUUCUUAUUUUCUCUAACACACUCUAAAAUUGUACACAUAUUGAUCUAUUUUUCAAUGCCUUCAAGUGGAUUUCUUUAAUUUGGUAGCAAUUCUUCUUUUCUUUUCAAAAUUUACUGAUAAAUCUCUAAAAAAUAGGACAAUAGCUUUUCUAGUGAUAGAUUAUUAUUUUUAUGCAAUAUUCAAUUUUUAUUGAUUAAAUGAUUUUGAGAUAUUAAUUUUGUAUGAGGUAAUAUUUUUAGAAGUUGAUUAAUACUAAUCAUUGAAAAAAAUUAAGACUGCAUAAAAUUGACACAGGUGGGUAGGUAGAGAAUACCUAGGGGCGCAAGACAACUCUCUCUAAGGAACUUGAAAAUAUAGCCCCAUAACUUCGGGAGAAGGGGUGCCUCCUCACAAAAGGGGUCGCAAUGACCAGGCCUGAGUGACUGUUUACCAAAAACACAAGUCUUCGUAAAGUCGUAAGACCAUGUAUGGGGGCUGACACCUACCCAUUAUCAAAAGGUCAAGGAAGUUGGUGACCUAAUGACAGAGGAGCCGGCGACUAAAGCCCCAGUGAACGGCGGUCGUAACUAUAAUAGUUCUAAGAUAGUGAAAUUCCUUGUCGGGUAAGUUCUGACCCGUACGAAAGGCAUAACGAUUUGGGCUCUGUCUCAGAGAGAGGCUCGGUGAAAUAGACAUGUCUGUGAAGAUGUAGACCACCCGCACCCUGACAGAAAGACACUAUGAAGCUUCACUGUUCCCUAGGAUUAGCUUUGGGCUUUUCCUGUGCAGCUUAGGUGGAAGGAGAAAAAGGCCUUCUUCCGGGGGGCCCGAGCCAUUAGUGAGAUACCACUCUAGAAGAGCUAGAAUUCUAACCUUGUGUCAAGGCCUACGGGCCAAGGGACAAUCUCAAGUAGACAAUUUCUAUUAGGCGUAGGCCUCCCAAAAGGUAAUGGAGGCGUGCAAAGGUUUCCUCGGGCCGAACAAAGAUUGGCCCUCAAGUGCAAAGGCAGAAGGGAGCUUGACUGCAAGACCCACCCGUCUAGCAAGGACGAAAGUCAGCCUUAUUAAUCCAGAGGUACCGAGUGGAAAGGCCGUCACUCAACGGAUAAAAGUUACUCUAAGGAUAACAGGUUGAUCUUCCCCAAAAACUCACAUCGACAGGAAGGUUUGGCACCUCGAUGUCGGCUCAUCGCCACCUGGGCUAUAGUAUGUUCCAAGGGUUGAGUUGUUCGCCCAUUAAAGCGGUACGUGAGUUGGGUUCAGAACGUCGUGAGACAGUUCGAUCCAUAUUUGGUGCGGGCAUUAAAGCAUUGAGAGGACCUUUCCCUAGUACGAGUAUAAUCUUAAAUUUGCAUUCCAUGACACCAAAAAAUAUUUAAUUUUCGUGUUGUCUUAAUUUAUCUCAUAUUUUGUGUAAAUUGUCGUAACAAUUCUAUUUACUCAAUUGUUAUUUGGUAAAUGAAAAAAUAUUAAAAUCUUCACUUUUUUAUAGGAUUUUAUAAAUAUUAAAUUUAUAUUAUAAAUUUGUUUGGUAUAUUAGUAAAAAUUAAAUAUUGUAUAU